GCGCCUGUAGCUCAGUUGGAUAGAGUAGCGGGGUCCUAACCCGAAGGUCGCAGGUUCAAAUCCUGCCAGGCGCG
Molecule: transfer RNA, 74 nt
Filed under: Candidatus Pacearchaeota archaeon
Lineage: Archaea; Nanobdellati
Description: tRNA-Arg
Rfam family: tRNA
About the family: Transfer RNA (tRNA) molecules are approximately 80 nucleotides in length.
Source: RNAcentral